This 360-nucleotide ribosomal RNA is filed under the name uncultured Yersinia sp. RNAcentral describes it as "bacterial SSU rRNA". It matches the Rfam family "Bacterial small subunit ribosomal RNA", at positions 84 to 447 of the family's 1533-position model. Lineage: Bacteria; Pseudomonadati; Pseudomonadota; Gammaproteobacteria; Enterobacterales; Yersiniaceae. The record is from RNAcentral.
UCGGGUGACGAGUGGCGGACGGGUGAGUAAUGUCUGGGAAACUGCCUGAUGGAGGGGGAUAACUACUGGAAACGGUAGCUAAUACCGCAUAACGUCUUCGGACCAAAGUGGGGGACCUUCGGGCCUCACACCAUCGGAUGUGCCCAGAUGGGAUUAGCUAGUAGGUGGGGUAAUGGCUCACCUAGGCGACGAUCCCUAGCUGGUCUGAGAGGAUGACCAGCCACACUGGAACUGAGACACGGUCCAGACUCCUACGGGAGGCAGCAGUGGGGAAUAUUGCACAAUGGGCGCAAGCCUGAUGCAGCCAUGCCGCGUGUAUGAAGAAGGCCUUCGGGUUGUAAAGUACUUUCAGCGGGGAGG